UACGUAGGGUGCGAGCGUUGUCCGGAAUUAUUGGGCGUAAAGAGCGUGUAGGCGGCCACACAGGUCAGCUGUGAAAACUCGAGGCUCAACCUCGAGACGUCGGUUGAAACCGUAUGGCUAGAGUCCGGAAGAGGAGAGUGGAAUUCCCGGUGUAGCGGUGAAAUGCGCAGAUAUCGGGAAGAACACCCGUGGCGAAGGCGGCUCUCUGGGACGGUACUGACGCUGAGACGCGAAAGCGUGGGGAGCGAACAGG
RNAcentral lists this ribosomal RNA (253 nucleotides) under uncultured bacterium. RNAcentral describes it as "partial 16S ribosomal RNA". It matches the Rfam family "Bacterial small subunit ribosomal RNA", at positions 524 to 776 of the family's 1533-position model. The record is from RNAcentral.